AGAGGUAGACGCAGAGAACUGAAACAUCUUAGUACCUGCAGGAAGAGAAAGAAAAUUCGAUUCCCUGAGUAGCGGCGAGCGAAACGGGAAGAGCCCAAACCAACAAGCUUGCUUGUUGGGGUUGUAGGACUCCGAUAUGGUAGUCUGUUAGUAUAGUUGAAGGAUUUGGAAAAUUCCGCUAAAGAGGGUGAAAGCCCCGUAGACGAAAUGCUGACAACACCUAGGAGGAUCCUGAGUACGGCGGAACACGAGAAAUUCCGUCGGAAUCCGCGGGGACCAUCCCGCAAGGCUAAAUACUCCCUAGUGACCGAUAGUGAACCAGUACCGUGAGGGAAAGGUGAAAAGCACCCCGGAAGGGGAGUGAAAUAGAUCCUGAAACCGUGUGCCUACAACAAGUCAAAGCUCGUUAAUGAGUGAUGGCGUGCCUUUUGUAGAAUGAACCGGCGAGUUACGAUUGCAUGCGAGGUUAAGUCGAAGAGACGGAGCCGUAGCGAAAGCGAGUCUGAAUAGGGCGAAUGAGUAUGUAGUCGUAGACCCGAAACCAUGUGAUCUACCCAUGUCCAGGUUGAAGGUGCGGUAAAACGCACUGGAGGACCGAACCCACGUACGUUGAAAAGUGCGGGGAUGAGGUGUGGGUAGCGGAGAAAUUCCAAACGAACUUGGAGAUAGCUGGUUCUCUCCGAAAUAGCUUUAGGGCUAGCCUCGGAAUUGAGAAUGAUGGAGGUAGAGCACUGUUUGGACUAGGGGCCCAUCUCGGGUUACCGAAUUCAGAUAAACUCCGAAUGCCAUUCAUUUAUAUCCGGGAGUCAGACUGCGAGUGAUAAGAUCCGUAGUCGAAAGGGAAACAGCCCAGACCACCAGCUAAGGUCCCAAAAUAUAUGUUAAGUGGAAAAGGAUGUGGGGUUGCACAGACAACUAGGAUGUUGGCUUAGAAGCAGCCACCAUUUAAAGAGUGCGUAAUAGCUCACUAGUCGAGUGACCCUGCGCCGAAAAUGUACCGGGGCUAAACAUAUUACCGAAGCUGUGGACUACACCAUUAGGUGUAGUGGUAGGAGAGCGUUCUAAGGGCGUUGAAGGUCGAUCGUGAGGACGGCUGGAGCGCUUAGAAGUGAGAAUGCCGGUAUGAGUAGCGAAAGACAGGUGAGAAUCCUGUCCACCGUAUGACUAAGGUUUCCUGGGGAAGGCUCGUCCGCCCAGGGUUAGUCGGGACCUAAGCCGAGGCCGAUAGGCGUAGGCGAUGGACAACAGGUUGAUAUUCCUGUACCAGUUGUUUUUGUUUGAGCAAUGGAGGGACGCAGUAGGCUAAGGAAUGCAUGCGAUUGGAAGUGCAUGUCCAAGCAAUGAGUCUUGAG
Molecule: ribosomal RNA, 1352 nt
Filed under: Enterococcus faecalis
Lineage: Bacteria; Bacillati; Bacillota; Bacilli; Lactobacillales; Enterococcaceae
Description: partial 23S ribosomal RNA
Rfam family: Bacterial large subunit ribosomal RNA
Source: RNAcentral